This 332-nucleotide RNase P RNA is filed under the name Burkholderiaceae bacterium. RNAcentral's name for it is "RNase P RNA component class A". It matches the Rfam family "Bacterial RNase P class A". From Rfam's summary of the family: Ribonuclease P (RNase P) is a ubiquitous endoribonuclease, found in archaea, bacteria and eukarya as well as chloroplasts and mitochondria. Its best characterised activity is the generation of mature 5'-ends of tRNAs by cleaving the 5'-leader elements of precursor-tRNAs. The record is from RNAcentral. Lineage: Bacteria; Pseudomonadati; Pseudomonadota; Betaproteobacteria; Burkholderiales; Burkholderiaceae.
GAAGCAAGCCAGACCGCCGCUGGUGCAAGCGUCGAAAGACGGCACUGGAGGAAGGUCCGGACUGCACAGAGCAGCGCAGCGGCUAACGGCCGUCCACCGCGAGGUGAGGAUCAGAGCAACAGAGACGAGUCCACGGGUUCGCCCGUGGGGUGAAACGGGCAAUCUCUGCGCGCAGCAACACCAAGUAGGCCAGCGUUGACGUGGCUCGCGGAGCUGGCGGGUAGGUGGCACCGAGCCGUCCGGCAAUGGGCGGCCCAGAUGAAUGGCGGUCACGCCGGCGCUUCGCAAGAAGCGCCGGUGCACAGAAUCCGGCCUAUCGGCUCGCUUCACAU